AACGAACGCUGGCGGCAUGCCUAACACAUGCAAGUCGAACGAGACCUUCGGGUCUAGUGGCGCACGGGUGCGUAACGCGUGGGAACCUGCCCUUAGGUUCGGAAUAACUCAGAGAAAUUUGAGCUAAUACCGGAUAAUGUCUUCGGACCAAAGAUUUAUCGCCUUUGGAUGGGCCCGCGUAGGAUUAGCUUGUUGGUGGGGUAAUGGCCUACCAAGGCGACGAUCCUUAGCUUGUCUGAGAGGAUGAUCAGCCACACUGGGACUGAGACACGGCCCAGACUCCUACGGGAGGCAGCAGUGGGGAAUAUUGGACAAUGGGCGAAAGCCUGAUCCAGCAAUGCCGCGUGAGUGAUGAAGGCCUUAGGGUUGUAAAGCUCUUUUACCAGGGAUGAUAAUGACAGUACCUGGAGAAUAAGCUCCGGCUAACUCCGUG
RNAcentral lists this ribosomal RNA (433 nucleotides) under uncultured bacterium. RNAcentral's name for it is "partial 16S ribosomal RNA". It matches the Rfam family "Bacterial small subunit ribosomal RNA", at positions 29 to 507 of the family's 1533-position model. The record is from RNAcentral.